AGUGGGAUAGCUGGGUCAAAUGGUGGUUCCUUUCCAAAUUUUUAAAGGAAUCUCCAUACUUAUUUCCAGAUUGGUUGUACCCAUUUGCAGUGCCACCAGCAAU
Molecule: microRNA precursor, 103 nt
Filed under: Marmota monax (woodchuck)
Lineage: Eukaryota; Metazoa; Chordata; Mammalia; Rodentia; Sciuridae
Source: RNAcentral